This 253-nucleotide ribosomal RNA is filed under the name uncultured bacterium. RNAcentral's name for it is "partial 16S ribosomal RNA". It matches the Rfam family "Bacterial small subunit ribosomal RNA", at positions 524 to 776 of the family's 1533-position model. The record is from RNAcentral.
UACGUAGGGACCGAGCGUUGUCCGGAAUCAUUGGGCGUAAAGAGCGUGUAGGCGGCCACUUAAGUCCUGCGUGAAAUCUUGCGGCUCAACCGCAAGCGGUCGUGGGAAACUGGAUGGCUAGAGUGCGGGAGAGGAGAGUGGAAUUCCCGGUGUAGCGGUGAAAUGCGCAGAUAUCGGGAAGAACACCCGUGGCGAAGGCGGCUCUCUGGAACGCAACUGACGCUGAGACGCGAAAGCGUGGGGAGCAACAGGG